GCGGCUGUUGGACGUGGUGUAUCGGUUGCUAAGGCGCGGUCUUGAGGGCUGUAGUCGGGCCGUGAACGUCAUCUCCAUCCACUAAUCGAGUUAUCCAGCGCCUCUCAUCGAAAGAUCAGGCCAAAAACCCUAGCGGGCUCGCAUCAGUUGGUAUCAGAGCAAGGUUCUUCGGUGAGAGACUUCUAAUCCUUUGCUGAUUUUAAUUAAUUUCCUAUAGUCUAGAAAAGCCAAAAAAAUAUAGUAGAUUAGUUUUUCCAUAAUCCUAUUAAACCUUUGUGCCUUGGAUAGUACCGUUUUAGUUAGGGCUUGUUGAAUUUGCGUUGCUUCGGUUUGUGUCGAGUUGCUGGUCUUAGUGUCUAGUCCUUUAGAGUUUCGAGUUCUUGUCACCCUCUAUACACAGCUGAGUAUUACCAUAUCUUCUCUCUGUCGAAUCUGUUGCGAAGUCUGAAUUGAACUGUGGUCUUGGUCUGGAUCGAGUAGAGUUCCAAUCUGAGUUCAAAAAGAAAGAUAACUCUACUUGUUCGGCCUUACUCUAGAGAGAGAGAGAGAGAGAGAGUGGAGCGAAAAAAGUGUGUGGAGCGAAUUGCUCUUUUGUAUUCUUUUGUUCAUAUAAUCAGUUUUUGAGGUUGCCCAAAAAAAAAGAAAAAAAAAUAAAAAAAAGAAAAGAGAAAAGAUUCAAAAAAAAGGGGCUGUUUUUCAUAUUGAUUUUAGGUUUGUCCCACCUUGUUUUCGGGGGUGUGCUGUGGUUUUCCUUUGUGUCCAGGCUCGCGUCUCUAGCACGGUCUAGCCUAGGACCAGCACAGUACCAUCGUCGAACGCUUAUUCAGCUCGCUUUUAUAACUAAUGUGGUGCUAGUUCAUUCCUUGUUUCAGCCCACCUAUAGCUCCACAUACUCUACAGCUUGACAGGUCUUGUGCUGCAGCACCGAUACACUUCGUCCAUUGCUGUACACUUGUUGCCAGACGACCCCUCCUGUCAAGCAAGGUAAGAAUUGGUAAGAACUUGUGUUACAGGUUGAGUGUGAGCGACUUGCUGUAGCUACAUCCUAGUAGUUGUAGGGCUUUUAUUUCUUCACUUGCCUUUUUGUUGUCUUUGUCUUUGAACCAUGCCAGGGGCAGAUGAUGGUAACGAAACACCACUUACACCUCGCACUAAGGGCAUCAUACAACAUUUUGAAAGGAAAGUGAAGCUGCACACAGAGGGACUUGAUAACGACUUGCAGGUGACGAAUGAAAAGCUGGGGCAGUUGGAGGCUACGCAGAUUGCCACAAACAACAAGCUCACAAGUUUGGAGGAAUCCGUUGCUAGUGUGGACAAAAGCCUUGCUGCUCUCCUAAGGCGAUUUGAUGCUUUCCACACCGAAGAUAAAGAGAAGCAUAAAGAAGAAAAGGAGGGAGAUCGAGAGCACGGUAGUCAUGAAGAUGACUACACUGGUGAUACUGAACAUGAUGAUCAAGACACUCGUGAUCGACGUCGCCUUCGUCACAACCGUAGAGGUAUGGGUGGCAACCGCCGACGCGAGGUACACAAUAAUGAUGAUGCUUUCAGUAAGAUUAAAUUUAAGAUACCCCCUUUUGAUGGUAAAUAUGACCCUGAUGCUUACAUCACUUGGGAGAUUGCUGUUGAUCAAAAGUUUGCAUGUCAUGAAUUUCCUGAGACUACACGUGUUAGGGCUGCUACUAGUGAGUUUACAGAUUUUGCUUCUCUUUGGUGGAUAGAAUAUGGAAAGAAAAAUCCUAAUAACUUACCUAGAACUUGGGAUGCGCUGAAAAGGGCCAUGAGAGCUAGAUUUGUUCCAUCUUACUAUUCGCGUGAUAUGAUAAAUAAGUUGCAGCAGUUAAGACAAGGUGCUAAAAGUGUAGAAGAAUAUUAUCAGGAAUUACAAACGGGUAUGUUGCGUUGUAACCUAGAGGAGGAUGAGGAACCGGCUAUGGCUAGAUUUUUGGGUGGGUUAAAUCGUGAAAUCCAGGACAUUCUUGCUUAUAAAGAUUAUACUAACAUAACCCGUUUGUUUCAUCUUGCUUGUAAAGCUGAAAGGGAAGUGCAGGGACGACGUGCUAGCGCAAGGAGUAAUAUUUCUGCAGGGAAGGCUAAUUCAUGGCAGCAACGCGUGGCUUCAACUCCAUCUACACGUAUUUCUACUCCAUCAUCUGGUGACAAGACUCGAGCUGCCCCCACCAAUUCAGUUGCGAAGACGAUGCAAAAGCCUGCUGCGAGUACUUCAUCCGUGGCAUCGACGGGUAGAACAAGCAACAUACAAUGUCACCGGUGCAAGGGACAUGGGCACAUGAUGCGUGACUGUCCAAACAAGCGAGUUAUGAUUGUCAGGGAUGAUGGUGAGUACUCAUCUGCUAGUGAUUUUGAUGAGGAUACACUUGCACUGCUUGCGACUGACCAUGCAGGUAAUGAAGAUCAAAUAGAAGAACAUAUUAAUGCAGGUGAAGCGGACCACUAUGAGAGCUUGAUCGUGCAGCGAGUGCUUAGUGCACAAAUGGAGAUGGCGGAACAAAAUCAGCGACACAUUUUAUUCCAAACAAAGUGUGUCAUCAAAGAGCGUUCUUGUCGCAUGAUCAUUGAUGGAGGUAGCUGCAACAACUUGGCAAGCAGCGAUAUGGUGCAGAAGCUUGCCCUCAACACCAAACCACACCCGCAUCCCUACUACAUCCAAUGGCUGAACAACAGUGGUAAGGCAAAGGUAACUAGACUUGUGAGAAUUAAUUUUUCCAUCGGAUCCUACAAAGAUAUUGUUGAAUGUGAUGUUGUGCCUAUGCAAGCUUGUAACAUUCUGCUAGGUAGACCUUGGCAAUUUGAUAGAGAUUCUAUGCAUCAUGGUAGAUCAAAUCAGUAUUCUUUUCUAUACCAUGAUCGCAAAAUUGUGUUGCAUCCUAUGUCCCCUGAAACUAUUAUGCAAACUGAUGUUGCUAGGGCUACUAAAGCAAAGAGCAAGAGCAAUAAAAAUGAUAAAUCUGUAAUUGGUAACAAAGAUGAGAUAAAACUGAAAGGACGUUGUAUGAUAGCUACCAAAUCAGAUAUCAAUGAGUUCAAUGCAUCCACUUCUGUUGCUUAUGCUUUGAUAUGCAAGGAUGCUUUGAUUUCAGUUGAGGAUAUGCAAUGUUCUUUGCCCCUGCUGUUGCUAACGUUUUGCAGGAGUAUUCUGAUGUGUUUCCAAGUGAUGUACCAGCGGGGCUGCCUCCACUACGCGGGAUUGAGCACCAAAUUGAUCUUAUUCCUGGAUCAGUUUUGCCAAAUCGUGCACCAUACAGGACAAAUCCGGAGGAAACAAAGGAAAUUCAGCGACAAGUGCAAGAACUACUAGACAAAGGUUAUGUCCGAGAAUCUCUUAGUCCUUAUGCUGUUCCAGUAAUUUUAGUGCCUAAGAAAGAUCGAACAUGGCGUAUGUGUGUUGAUUGUAGAGCUAUUAAUAAUAUCACCAUUCGAUAUCGACACCCUAUUCCACGAUUAGAUGAUAUGCUAGAUGAACUGAGUGGUGCUGUUGUGUUUUCAAAAGUUGAUUUACGUAGUGGGUACCACCAGAUUCGUAUGAAAUUGGGAGAUAAAGGUAGAAAGCAAUUGAUUCUGGAACCUGGGGAUUUGGUUUGGUUGCAUUUGCGAAAAGAUAGAUUUCCAGAACUGAGAAAAUCCAAAUUGAUGCCUAGAGCUGAUGGUCCUUUUAAAGUGCUGCAACGAAUUAAUGAGAAUGCAUAUAAGCUUGAUCUUCCUGCAGAUUUUGGGGUUAGUCCCACAUUUAACAUUGCAGAUUUGAAGCCUUAUUUGGGUGAGGAAGAUGAGCUUGAGUCGAGGACGACUCAAAUGCAAGAAAGGGAGGAUGAUGAGGAUAUCAACACCAGCGAUACAUAUCCUACAUCCACCAGCGAUACAUAUCCUACAUCCACCAGCGAUACAUAUCCUACAUCCUCUCCGACACAACCUAUAGCUGGUCCUCUUACUCGUGCUCGUGCCCGUCAACUCAACCUUCAAGUAAGUUCAGCUUUAAACUCUUGUCAAUCAUAUUUAGACAAUGGAGACACGUGCACUUUGGUGUUGCUCAGGAAUAAUGGACAAGAUCAGCAAGGGAAGGUUCAACUGCAUUCAGAAUUUGAGGCAACACCAACUUCAAGGGCUGAUUGCAUAUGGGAAGAGUGAUAACUUAACAAAGGUGAUUGGAGAUCAGGUCCAAGCCUCCACAACGUCCUCUGUCAAGUUACCACGUCGUUUCUAAAGCAAGGAAACAAAGAGUCCAAACCCAACACGUUUUGGGAGUUGGAUUCGGACUGGAAAAUAACUCUAACUUGUAUGGAUCACCACGGCGUCAUAUGGACUCCAACUGGGACGUUCCUAUACUUGUUGGAAAGCUCAUGAAGUCUACUUUCCAAUGGGUCCAACCACAUAUCUAUGCGGCUUAUGAGUCGGGCGCAGUCCUUGUUUUCGUGCCGACACCUUUUUCUGUUUUGGUGCUGCGUCACCCUAUUUUGGACCAAUGGCCCAUGUAUCAAGUUGAGUCCAUUAGGGACGCGUCCUAGGGUUGGAGGACGACUCUAGCACCCUUUUGGUCGUCCUCCCCUCUAUUUAUUUACAUCUAGAGCCGCCAUGAACAACUGGGUUUUGUUUAGAUCAAGUUUAGCCUUCGCUACUUGCUUGUAGGCGCGCGUGCAGGAUCAGCCGCCCGUCUCCUUGUCUUCGGAACCCCAUUGUUGAUUAAGAUUCAGUUUAAAACCUUCAAUUCAUCUUGCAAAUUCAGUGCUUGUUUCCUCGUUCUUGCUAGUUCUUCGAUUGCUUGCAGGACGGGAGCCCUAGGGGCUGGUUGUCGCGCUCCACAAGAUCAUGACGGCUGUUGGACGUGGUGUAUCGGUUGCUAAGGCGCGGUCUUGAGGGCUGUAGUCGGGCCGUGAACGUCAUCUCCAUCCACUAAUCGAGUUAUCCAGCGCCUCUCAUCGAAAGAUCAGGCCAAAAACCCGAGCGGGCUCGCAUCAGUUGGUAUCAGAGCAAGGUUCUUCGGUGAGAGACUUCUAAUCCUUUGCUGUUUUUAAUUAAUUUCCUAUAGUCCAG
RNAcentral lists this long non-coding RNA (5046 nucleotides) under Sorghum bicolor (sorghum). Its description in RNAcentral is "long non-coding RNA (SBIC_LNC018649)". The record is from RNAcentral. Lineage: Eukaryota; Viridiplantae; Streptophyta; Magnoliopsida; Poales; Poaceae.